Molecule: ribosomal RNA, 301 nt
Filed under: uncultured bacterium
Lineage: Bacteria
Description: partial 16S ribosomal RNA
Rfam family: Bacterial small subunit ribosomal RNA
Source: RNAcentral
CAGUAGCCGCGGGAAUACGUAGGGUGCAAGCGUUGUCCGGAAUUAUUGGGCGUAAAGAGCUCGUAGGCGGUUUGUCGCGUCUGCUGUGAAAUCCCGAGGCUCAACCUCGGGCUUGCAGUGGGUACGGGCAGACUAGAGUGCGGUAGGGGAGAUUGGAAUUCCUGGUGUAGCGGUGGAAUGCGCAGAUAUCAGGAGGAACACCGAUGGCGAAGGCAGAUCUCUGGGCCGUAACUGACGCUGAGGAGCGAAAGCGUGGGGAGCGAACAGGAUUAGAUACCCCGGUAGUCCCUGUCUCUUAUAC